CAGUAAAAGGAUCUAAUGUGAUUUUUGCCUGGGGCACCUUGCUGUGAGUAAAAUCUCAAUGGAAUUAAGGGAAUAUGCAAGGUUAAAGUCAGUCUACCAUAUUUGUGUUAUAAUGUUGAUUACUACAAAAUUAAAAAUUUUCAUUAAAAACAUGCAAAAUUAUUGUUACAUAAAAAUGUUCUUGUUUUUAAAGAUAUUGUGUCAUGAUUUAAACAACAUGCUAAUAAUAUUGUUUUUAUGGCUGUACAGCUGAACACUGUACAGCUCAAAAUUGUGACUGUUGGACUAACAAUAGGUCAUGAAUUUUUUAAUCCAAUGAUUUUUUUCUUGUAAUAUGAUCACAGUUCCAUGUCUUUCAACACCACAACUUCAGCCACAUCAGUCAGUUUCUGCUAACUGGCAGAAUCAAGGAAGUGUGAUUGAUCCACAAUCUCUUCGAGAUGUUCCAUGUCUUUCAACACCACAACUGCAGCCACAUCAGUCAGUUUCUGCCAACUGGCAGAAUCAAGGAAAUGUGAUUAAUCCACAAUCUCUUCAGGAUGAAAUCUACAAGUUAUUUGAGAAUUUAGAAAGAAGAAUCAUGUUGAAACUGGACCAAAUCCAAAACAACAUUACAUCAGUGGUUGAAACAAUGCAGCAAUCAAUGAACCAGCCAAGCACCUCUGUCUCCGAUCUCACAGAGGUGCUAGAGAAACCAUGCAAGACUGUAGAGGAAUUAGAGGAGUUAUGUGAUAAGCUGAAAGAUGCUGAAUUUCGAAAGAAGAUGAUUCGUUAUCUGUGUCUUCAGAGUGGAGGCAACAUGGGAGAAGGAAUUAGGAGGAUGCUGAAAAAAAUUGGAGAUAAUUCCUUAUGGGGAUAUUACAGUUACAAAGGGAGAAAGGGAAAACUUAAAUUUCAGCAGCUCCUCAUCAAUGAUGUCAUCAUACGUGCCUGCAGCAAGGCAUACCCAAACCAAAAAUCCCAGAGUGUGGAAGAGAUGAUUGCUGUCACCCUAAAAACAUGCCCCGGAUCGUGAAAAAACAGUUAAUCAGGUCAGAAGCCAACAGGAGCUACCAUCGGAAUAACGCAGAAACACAGCUGCUUUGCUUGACCCACCCACGCACGGAGAAAAAUUUACAAAUAAAAAUAAUUUUUAAUUUGCCUAAUAGUUAUGUCAUUUAAAAUUGAACCUGUUGUUUUUGUAGCAUUGAUCUUUAGAUGCAGUUGUUCUCUUUAUUUUUUGCUUAAAUAUACAUUAUUCAUUUUUAAUUAUACAUUCUUUUUUUCUUGCAAUCCUAUAUACAUAUACUAUACGUUGUUUUGUUCUAGUUGUAUAUAUCUUUUAUUUCUUAACAUGUAAUAAAAAUAAUAAGAAAAAAACUUUUAAAUUGUUUAAAUAAAAUGUAGCCUACUAUGUUCCAACUAUUUGCAUGUGUCUAUUUUCUUUGGUUAGCCUAAAAGUAAAAUAAAAUGACAUUUGAGGAUUUAAAGCGAAAGUCCCCUAAACGUCCCGAAUGGCCGCUGCACGUCCUAUGAACGUCCCCGUGAACGUCCGGAGGACGUCUUCGCGAACGUCCGUUCGACGUCAAGGGGGCCCUACACGCUGACGUCCGGGGGACGUUCGCAGAGGCCGUUUAGGGGACGUCCUGGGGACCUUUUUUUGUUAGCUGGGAGUAACGCGAGUAAAUGUAAUUCGUUACUUUCCACCUCUGUCUAAGCUACACAGUAUUACACCAUAUUUUAGAUUUGACACAUUUAAUAGGUGUGCAGUAUUAUUUAUAUAAUAUGAAUUAUGUGUUAUAUUAUUCAAAAUAAAUUGUGGUUUACUUUGCAUCGUAGCAUUAAAAGUGGUAGCCUAUUUUAGUGAGCUAGGCUACAUGGAUUUAUAUGCAAAAUGUCAAUAUUCUCAUAUAUUAGGCCUAUAUUUUAAUUUAUAUUUUAAAAUUCCUUUAAUAAAACAACAUGCAUUUUUGUUAUUCGUUACCUGUCCUUUAUUUUGACAGACAAAUUUUUGGGAAAAUAUAUUUGUCUGUACACUGAUUAAGAAAUUGUUGCAUGUUUUAUAAAUUAUUUUCUUUAUUUUAGUAAAACGUGAGGCACUGUAUAAUUUCGUUCCCAUUAUUUAGGCCUAAUUAAAACAAGAAACGAAUAAAUUAAACCUGCACGAUUUAGCUAAAUCAUUGAAAUUCUAAAGAAUGGACUGAUUAAUAAAACGUCUUCACGAUUAAUCUCAAGUUCUCUCAUUUUAAUCACCAAAGUGCAAAUGAUGUAAAAAAGAGCUUCAUUAAUAGACAGCUUCAGUGAUUUUAAAGGGAGCCGCCGUUACUUGCUUACAUAGAAUUUAAGUUAAAAAAAAAUAAAAUUGCUGCCGCAUUUAAAUGCAGGUGUGUAAAAUGUCUGCGUGCAAGAUUUGCGUGGCGCGAGUGAUGCUGAGUGCACGCGCAGCAUUUAUUCUUAUUUGUUUUAUCUUCAUUACAAAUCUUGUUUGGUUUUAUUUUGGAUAAUUGCAUGUAAAACAUAAUUUACGUUGUAAUGCAUAUGCAAAAUGUGAAUAAUUAUUCAUAUUUAAGUGUCUGUGCGAAAAUUAUUAAUGCGCAUGCAGGACAGGGAGGCGCCUUCUAGAUCACUUGAAUUUUUUCCUGAUAAUGAAUUAACUUAAAAUUGUGGUGUCUCACAUACAUGAGAAAUAUAUCUACAGAAAGCUUGAAAUGUCUUUUAAAUGAAUCAAUUCAGAACGAAAGCAUUAUGUAAUCUGUGAAG
This is a long non-coding RNA of Cyprinus carpio carpio, 2739 nucleotides long. Lineage: Eukaryota; Metazoa; Chordata; Actinopteri; Cypriniformes; Cyprinidae. The record is from Ensembl.